UGCAGUCGAGCGGAACGAUCCUAGCUUGCUAGGAGGCGUCGAGCGGCGGACGGGUGAGUAAUGCAUAGGAAUCUGCCCGGUAGUGGGGGAUAACUUGAGGAAACUCAAGCUAAUACCGCAUACGCCCUACGGGGGAAAGCAGGGGCUCUUCGGACCUUGCGCUAUCGGAUGAGCUUAUGUCGGAUUAGCUGGUUGGUGAGGUAACGGCUCACCAAGGCGACGAUCCGUAGCUGGUCUGAGAGGAUGAUCAGCCACAUCGGGACUGAGACACGGCCCGAACUCCUACGGGAGGCAGCAGUGGGGAAUAUUGGACAAUGGGGGCAACCCUGAUCCAGCCAUGCCGCGUGUGUGAAGAAGGCCCUCGGGUUGUAAAGCACUUUCAGCGAGGAAGAAUGCUUGUCGGUUAAUACCCGGCAAGGGAGACAUCACUCGCAGAAGAAGCACCGGCUAACUCCGUGCCAGCAGCCGCGGUAAUACGGAGGGUGCGAGCGUUAAUCGGAAUUACUGGGCGUAAAGCGUGCGUAGGCGGCUUGAUAAGCCGGUUGUGAAAGCCCCGGGCUCAACCUGGGAACGGCAUCCGGAACUGUUAGGCUAGAGUGCAGGAGAGGAAGGUAGAAUUCCCGGUGUAGCGGUGAAAUGCGUAGAGAUCGGGAGGAAUACCAGUGGCGAAGGCGGCCUUCUGGACUGACACUGACGCUGAGGUACGAAAGCGUGGGUAGCAAACAGGAUUAGAUACCCUGGUAGUCCACGCCGUAAACGAUGUCGACUAGCCGUUGGGGUCCUCGAGACCUUUGUGGCGCAGUUAACGCACUAAGUCGACCGCCUGGGGAGUACGGCCGCAAGGUUAAAACUCAAUGAAUUGACGGGGCCCGCACAGCGGUGGAGCAUGUGGUUUAAUUCGAUGCACGCGAGACCUUACCUACCCUUGACA
Molecule: ribosomal RNA, 931 nt
Filed under: Halomonas elongata
Lineage: Bacteria; Pseudomonadati; Pseudomonadota; Gammaproteobacteria; Oceanospirillales; Halomonadaceae
Description: bacterial SSU rRNA
Rfam family: Bacterial small subunit ribosomal RNA
Source: RNAcentral